AUGAAGGUAUUGCCUUAUGCUUCUAGCUUGGUUUCUCUUAACACCUUGUGGCUGUCGUGUGCACACAACCAUCACACACGCUAUGCCCGUGAACAGGACACAAGCACAAAUGCGUCGUCGGACUGCAUAGGCUCACCGGCCGAACUUCACAGGCUCCUUCUUCCUUCCAGCCGAGCUGCGCCUAGCGCCGGCGAGCAAGACCACGCCUCAGGCCAGCUCCGUUGGUCGCUGACCAGCAGGAUGAUGCCACAGGCCAACGACGAACUGUGUGUACGCGCCGCAAAACUGCAGCCUCCCCAGCUCGUGCGUGCCAUGAGCAACCUCGUUCAUGGACUGAAGAGAAGCCACCGGAGCUACUGCCCCAUUCUUUAA
RNAcentral lists this ribosomal RNA (372 nucleotides) under Triticum aestivum (bread wheat). Its description in RNAcentral is "partial small subunit ribosomal RNA". Lineage: Eukaryota; Viridiplantae; Streptophyta; Magnoliopsida; Poales; Poaceae. The record is from RNAcentral.